Molecule: ribosomal RNA, 504 nt
Filed under: uncultured Exiguobacterium sp.
Lineage: Bacteria; Bacillati; Bacillota; Bacilli; Caryophanales
Description: bacterial SSU rRNA
Rfam family: Bacterial small subunit ribosomal RNA
Source: RNAcentral
ACGCGAAGAACCUUACCAACUCUUGACAUCCCAUUGACCGCUUGAGAGAUCAAGUUUUCCCUUCGGGGACAAUGGUGACAGGUGGUGCAUGGUUGUCGUCAGCUCGUGUCGUGAGAUGUUGGGUUAAGUCCCGCAACGAGCGCAACCCCUAUCCUUAGUUGCCAGCAUUCAGUUGGGCACUCUAGGGAGACUGCCGGUGACAAACCGGAGGAAGGUGGGGAUGACGUCAAAUCAUCAUGCCCCUUAUGAGUUGGGCUACACACGUGCUACAAUGGACGGUACAAAGGGCAGCGAGACCGCGAGGUGGAGCCAAUCCCAUAAAGCCGUUCCCAGUUCGGAUUGCAGGCUGCAACUCGCCUGCAUGAAGUCGGAAUCGCUAGUAAUCGCAGGUCAGCAUACUGCGGUGAAUACGUUCCCGGGUCUUGUACACACCGCCCGUCACACCACGAGAGUUUGCAACACCCGAAGCCGGUGAGUAACCNACAAGGAGCCAGCCGUCGAAGU